GUCGACUUACGGUCACUUUCCCUUGUCUAUCAAUAACUUAUUGAUUUACAAGGAAAUUUGUAAUCAUCAGGUGGCGGGUUCGAGUCCUGCAGCCGGCACCA
This 101-nucleotide transfer RNA is filed under the name Ralstonia solanacearum. RNAcentral's name for it is "tRNA-OTHER". The record is from RNAcentral. Lineage: Bacteria; Pseudomonadati; Pseudomonadota; Betaproteobacteria; Burkholderiales; Burkholderiaceae.